Molecule: long non-coding RNA, 620 nt
Filed under: Panax ginseng (ginseng)
Lineage: Eukaryota; Viridiplantae; Streptophyta; Magnoliopsida; Apiales; Araliaceae
Description: long non-coding RNA (PGIN_LNC007376)
Source: RNAcentral
ACGAGUACUUGUUUUUUACUCGAUUUUCUGGACAGUGGAAAUCACGGAAAUUUCCGUCUGUUUGCACUUGUCUUGUCUUUUCCGUUAAUAAAGAGGGAGAAAUAGGAGGAGGGAGAGAGGGAGAGGGAGAGGGAGAGAUGUCACUGGUGGACUACGCUUCUACAGAUGAAGAUGAAGAUGAAGAUGAAGAUGAAGAACAAGAUAUUAAAGAAGAAAGCAUAGGCAAUGCAUACAUCCCAAUCGAAGAACCUUCAAAUAUGCCUCCAAAUUUUGCAUAUUAUAUUUUAGUUUCAUUCAAUCGGCUGAAACUAGGGUUUGUUUGUUAUUUGAUGACAUGAAAAUCCCCCUUUCUUGUUGUUCUACCUAGAAAAUAUUAUAAAUUUUAUAUGAAAUAAAAUAGGAUUUAUUAUUAUUAUUAUUAUUAUUAUUAUUAUUUUGGGGGGUGGGAGUGGGGGAGAGCUUUUGUUUUCUUUUGUUGAAUAAUUGGAAUUUGUUGUAACAUUUAUAUUGAAUUUAAGGAAGGGAAUUGAUAUUUUCUCUUUUGAUAUUUUCAUGUGGCUCCCUCACAUAGUAUAAUAAGAAUAAACAAGAAUAAGGUGGGUCUUACCUUCCUGUGAAGG